RNAcentral lists this ribosomal RNA (465 nucleotides) under uncultured bacterium. RNAcentral describes it as "partial 16S ribosomal RNA". It matches the Rfam family "Bacterial small subunit ribosomal RNA", at positions 28 to 507 of the family's 1533-position model. The record is from RNAcentral.
GAUGAACGCUGGCGGCGUGCUUAACACAUGCAAGUCGAACGGAAAGGCUCCUGCUUGCAUGGGUACUCGAGUAGCGAACGGGUGAGUAACAAGUGGGUGGUCUGCCCUGCACUGCGGGAUAAGCGUGAGAAACUGGGUCUAAUGACGGAUAGGACGAUGGUUUGGAUGCCAUUGUGGAAAGUCGUUCGGUGUGGGAUGAGCUCGCGCCCUAUAGGCUUGUUGGUGGGGUAAUGGCCUACAAAGGCGUCGACGGGUAGCCGGCCUGGGAGGGUGUACGGCACCAUUGGGACUAGAAUCCGGCCAGGACCCCUACGGGGGGCAGAGGUGGGGAAAAUUGAACAAUGGGGGCAAGCAUAAUCCAGAGACGCCGGGUGGGGGAUGACGGCCUUCGGUUUGUAACCUCUUUUAGCUAGGGACGAAGUGCAAGUGACGGUACCUGGAGAAGAAGCACCGGCUAACUACGUG